RNAcentral lists this ribosomal RNA (1106 nucleotides) under Candidatus Eiseniibacteriota bacterium. Its description in RNAcentral is "bacterial SSU rRNA". It matches the Rfam family "Bacterial small subunit ribosomal RNA", at positions 8 to 1086 of the family's 1533-position model. Lineage: Bacteria; Candidatus Eiseniibacteriota. The record is from RNAcentral.
GGAGGGUUUGAUCCUGGCUCAGAACGAACGUUGGCGGCGUGGAUUAGGCAUGCAAGUCGAGCGCGAACGUCUCCUUCGGGAGGCUAGUAGAGCGGCGAACGGGUGAGUAGCGCGUGGGGAACCUGCCCCUGAGUUGGGGAUAACACCCCUAACGGGGUGCUAAUACCGGAUAACACGACCGGAUCACCUGGUCUGGUCGUCAAAGCUGGCCUCUACAUGUAAGCUGGCGCUUGGGGAUGGUCCCGCGUCCCAUUAGCUUGUUGGUAGGGUAACGGCCUACCAAGGCUUUGAUGGGUAGCUGGUCUGAGAGGAUGGUCAGCCACACUGGGACUGAGAUACGGCCCAGACUCCUACGGGAGGCAGCAGUCGAGAGGCUUCGUCAAUGGGGGACACCCUGAACGAGCGACGCCGCGUGGGCGAUGAAGGCCGGAAGGUCGUAAAGCCCUGUCAGAGGGGAAGAAACGCCGGGUAGUCAACAGCUGCUCGGUUUGACGUUACCCUCAGAGGAAGCUCCGGCUAACUCCGUGCCAGCAGCCGCGGUAACACGGGGGGAGCAAACGUUGUUCGGAAUCACUGGGCGUAAAGGGCGCGCAGGCGGCCUGGUAAGUGAGACGUGAAAGCCCCCGGCUUAACCGGGGAUGUGCGUCUCAUACUGUCAGGCUUGAGGGCGGGAGAGGAAACGGGAAUUCCCGGUGUAGCGGUGAAAUGCACUGAUAUCGGGAGGAACACCUGUGGCGAAGGCGCGUUUCUGGCCCGCUCCUGACGCUCAGGCGCGAAAGCUGGGGGAGCAAACAGGAUUAGAUACCCUGGUAGUCCCAGCUGUAAACGGUGGGCACUAGGUGUGGGAGGCAUCGACCCCUUCCGUGCCGCAGCUAACGCAUUAAGUGCCCCGCCUGGGGAGUACGGCCGCAAGGUUGAAACUCAAAGGAAUUGACGGGGGCCCGCACAAGCGGUGGAGCAUGUGGUUUAAUUCGAUGCAACGCGAAGAACCUUACCCAGACUUGACAUGUACCGGACAGGUGUGGAAACACACUCUCCCUUCGGGGUCGGUACACAGGUGCUGCAUGGCUGUCGUCAGCUCGUGUCGUGAGAUGUUGGGUUAAGUC